CCUUGGCGCGUUGAAGCGCUCAGCGACAACCCACCGCGUAGCCUUGGGCCUAAUCGGUAAUCUAGGCAGGCCCAUCGCUUAGGCGGAUCCAGGUGUGCGCCUAAGCGCGAUGAAGCAGAGAAAAGCAGCGAGGAAGCGGCGCAAGGCAGAGCAAGGCGGACCGGAGAUGAAACGAGAGAGGUUGCAAGGCUGGGAGGGAAGGUGGCGAGAAGAUCGCGAGAAGAUGGAGAAGAUUGCGGGGAGUUUGCUGGCUAGAGGAAAGGAAAGAUUAGGCGGCUUUGGAUAUAUAUACACACAAAAGGGGCGGCGACUCGAUCUAUUCCGGCGUCGCUUCGUCCUCCGGCCGCCGAGACAAAGAUUCACCCCAUCCUCUCACCACACAGCCAUGACUUGUUCCUCCUCGCCAUCCGUUUGCUCGACCACAAUCUGUGGUUCGGUCUUCUUCCCUGCUGGGCGAAUCCAAGAUUGCAGCGCAGGGGGUGCCACUAUUUUUUUGCAUAGAUAUCACAAUUUAAGUGUCAUUUGUACUCGACAACUCAUACGACGAGGAAGUUAAAGAGGGCUGGUCAUAGCUAGCGCCUAAAGAAACAAGGGAAGAACCCACUGGUCUGAAGGGUGUCCGGUACAAAUGCAAGAACAACAUUCCAGGAAGAGAAUGUCCUUAAGAUAAAGUCAGAUGAUGUGGGAUGGGAGUAUGGGAGUCUAGCUGAUGCUUCCAACAAGGAUAAAGUGAAGAGUAUGUUUUGUAACCAUGUGAGCAUUGGAGGUGUUUAUCAUCACAAGCAGCAUGUGGCUCAUGUUAGUAAUGUUGUGGUCAAAUGCAAGAAAAGCUCUCAGGAAGCUAAAGAUAGGUGCUAGAAAUCUCUUGAGGAGGCAUCGAAUAAAAGAAGGGAAAAGACUACACGUGAGCAAGAGCUCAGACAAAGUGUGAACAUUUCUCGCAUUGGAGAUGAUGAAGCUACAUGUAUGGAAAGCGCAGAGCCACACAAGUUAGGUCCCAUUGACAAGUGGGCGCGACCUAUUGAUCCUAAAUUGACUCAUGCUGAAGCCUUGCAUCAACAGAAGAUAAACAAGGAACUCCGGAAAAAGAGAACACAUGAAGUGCAACAAUAUGAGGGCUAGAUGGGUGUACAAUCAUGCUAUACCAUUCAAUGCUUGUAACAACGAUGAUUUCAAGUUAAUGUGUGAAGCCAUUGGGAGCUUUGGUCCUGGAUUUGAACCGCCAUCUAAACAUGACCUUCGAGAGACUUUGCUGAGUGAGGAACAUGCAAGAGUGAAAAGUUUGCUGCAAGAACAUGAUGCUGAAAAGAUGAAGAAUGGCUGCUCCAUUAUGACUGAUGCUUGGCCAGAUAGGAAGAGGAGAAGCAUAAUGAACUUGUGCACAAACAGUGUCGAUGGUUCUAAUUUUAUAAGGUCGAGUGAGAUGUCGGAUGUAUCGCACACAAGUGAAGUCAUCUUCCAAUUAGUGGAUGAAGCAAUUGAGGAAGUAGGCCCUGAACAUGUGGUGCAGGUAGUGACGGAUAAUGCUUCUAAUAACAUGGGAGCAAAGAAUAUGUUGCUGGAGAAGAGGCCAAACAUGUUUUGGAGCUCUUGUGCGAUGCACACCAUUAACUUGAUGCUGCAAGGAAUUGCCAACCUACCAAGGUUUAGUAAGGUACUCAAAAAAGCAAAAGCAUUCACUAUCUUUGUUUAUGGGCACACACGGACCUUGGACUGCAUGAGGCACUUCUCUUUAGGGAAAGAGAUCAUAAGGCCAGGGAUCACUAGGUUUGCUUCUGCUUAUCUAACUUUGGAAAGCCUUCUGGACAAAAAGGAUCAACUCAGCAAGAUGGUGGUUGAUGGUAGAUUGGAUAAGUUGAGAGAAGUUAAAUCAAAAAAGGGAAAGGCAGCCUGAAUGUCUUUGAGCCUUUGGUAAAAGUCCUUCGUUUGGUUGCUCGGGAUGUCAAUCCAUCUAUGGGUUUUGUUUAUGGAGAAAUAGUUAAGGCAAAGAAAUAGAUCAAGGAGGUCUAUGGCAAUGUGAAGUCACGUUACAAAGAUGUGAUUAAUAUUGUUGAGAAAAAGAUGAAAGAUCGACUUGACUCUCCAUUGCACUUGGCUAUGUACUUGCUGAAUCCAUAUUAUAGUUAUGUCGAUACUAAUAUUUUUUAUGAUGGAACAAUAACGGAAGGGUUCAUCAGCUGUGUGGAGACCUUUUAUUAUGGUGAUGAUGACAAGCAAGAUCAAGCUAUCAAUUUUGAAUUAAAGAAAUUCCAUAAUAGAGAAGGGUCAUUUGCAAAGAAGCUUGCGAGGAGUUGUUAGGAUUUUGAUUAUAAUGCAGGCAUGCAUUGUUAUUUUGUGAAGUCAACUUAUUCAAUAUAUGCUUAGAGUUUCUGCAAUACAUUGUUAACUUGAUUCUCUGCUCUCACUCAUAGCAUCUUGGUGGAGCCUCUAUGGAACUGAAGCACCGACUCUACAAAGGAUGGUUGUGAGAAUACUCUCAUUGACCUCAAGUUCUCCGGCCUGUGAAAGAAAUUGGAGUACCUUUGAAAGUAUUCAUACAUAGAAAAGAAAUAGGCUAACUACAGAACAUCUCAACUCUCUUGUACUUGUACAAUUAAACUCAAGAAUUAUGGUUAAGAAGCAAAUGAUCAAGGAGAAGAAGAUCAUUGAUGUCCUCUUAUCUGCCGAGACAGCUGAAGCUCAAUUUUUUCUUUUCUAGGGUGGAGAUGAUUAUGCAGAAGUCGUCUAUAGGGAUGACGAUGAUGAGAUGGAUAGUACAGAGAUGCGAGGAAGUGGCAUUGGAGAGGCAAUGGGAGGCGAUGAAUUUCUUGAGCCACGUAGAAGUGCAAGACUAAGACAACUUUAUGAAGAAGAAGAAUUUGAUUCUGAAGAAGAGGAGUUUGAUGAUGAGGAGGAGAUGCAUUUAGAGGAUGAGAAUGACUAUAUUGAUAAGUGAGGAGAUCCAAAUGCAUGGGUGUCCUUUGUUAAGUACCUUUUCUUUAUCUUGUAUGUCUUUGUCAUUAUGUGUUGAACCGUCUGUGUGUGUGUUCUUGUGGAAUUUCCCCUUUUUGAUUUGUGAGACAAGUCUUCCAAAUAAGAUUCUAGAAAUUAAGAACUUCAUUUUGAAGUGUGAAUUAUUGGACAUAUAAUCUAUAUUGCUAUGCCAAUUGGGUCUUGCGUGAA
Long non-coding RNA from Hordeum vulgare subsp. vulgare (domesticated barley), 3162 nucleotides. RefSeq lists it as uncharacterized. Lineage: Eukaryota; Viridiplantae; Streptophyta; Magnoliopsida; Poales; Poaceae. The transcript has 6 exons. The record is from RefSeq and is a predicted model, not a curated record.